UUAAGCGACUAAGCGUACACGGUGGAUGCCCUGGCAGUCAGAGGCGAUGAAGGACGUGCUAAUCUGCGAAAAGCGUCGGUAAGGUGAUAUGAACCGUUAUAACCGGCGAUGUCCGAAUGGGGAAACCCAGUGUGAUUCGUCACACUAUCGUUAACUGAAUACAUAGGUUAACGAGGCGAACCGGGGGAACUGAAACAUCUAAGUACCCCGAGGAAAAGAAAUCAACCGAGAUUCCCCCAGUAGCGGCGAGCGAACGGGGAGCAGCCCAGAGUCUGAAUCAGCUUGUGUGUUAGUGGAACGGUCUGGAAAGUCCGACGGUACAGGGUGAUAGUCCCGUACACCAAAAUGCACAGGUUGUGAACUCGAAGAGUAGGGCGGGACACGUGGUAUCCUGUCUGAAUAUGGGGGGACCAUCCUCCAAGGCUAAAUACUCCUGACUGACCGAUAGUGAACCAGUACCGUGAGGGAAAGGCGAAAAGAACCCCGGCGAGGGGAGUGAAAAAGAACCUGAAACCGUGUACGUACAAGCAGUGGGAGCACCUUCGGGUGUGACUGCGUACCUUUUGUAUAAUGGGUCAGCGACUUAUAUUCUGUAGCAAGGUUAACCGUAUAGGGGAGCCGCAGGGAAACCGAGUCUUAACUGGGCGUUAAGUUGCAGGGUAUAGACCCGAAACCCGGUGAUCUAGCCAUGGGCAGGUUGAAGGUUGGGUAACACUAACUGGAGGACCGAACCGACUAAUGUUGAAAAAUUAGCGGAUGACUUGUGGCUGGGGGUGAAAGGCCAAUCAAACCGGGAGAUAGCUGGUUCUCCCCGAAAGCUAUUUAGGUAGCGCCUCGUGAAUUCAUCUUCGGGGGUAGAGCACUGUUUCGGCUAGGGGGUCAUCCCGACUUACCAACCCGAUGCAAACUACGAAUACCGAAGAAUGUUAUCACGGGAGACACACGGCGGGUGCUAACGUCCGUCGUGAAGAGGGAAACAACCCAGACCGCCAGCUAAGGUCCCAAAGUCAUGGUUAAGUGGGAAACGAUGUGGGAAGGCACAGACAGCCAGGAUGUUGGCUUAGAAGCAGCCAUCAUUUAAAGAAAGCGUAAUAGCUCACUGGUCGAGUCGGCCUGCGCGGAAGAUGUAACGGGGCUAAACCAUGCACCGAAGCUGCGGCAGCGACACGAUGUGUUGUUGGGUAGGGGAGCGUUCUGUAAGCCUGCGAAGGUGUGCUGUGAGGCAUGCUGGAGGUAUCAGAAGUGCGAAUGCUGACAUAAGUAACGAUAAAGCGGGUGAAAAGCCCGCUCGCCGGAAGACCAAGGGUUCCUGUCCAACGUUAAUCGGGGCAGGGUGAGUCGACCCCUAAGGCGAGGCCGAAAGGCGUAGUCGAUGGGAAACAGGUUAAUAUUCCUGUACUUGGUGUUACUGCGAAGGGGGGACGGAGAAGGCUAUGUUAGCCGGGCGACGGUUGUCCCGGUUUAAGCAUGUAGGCUGGUUAUCCAGGCAAAUCCGGAUAAUCAAGGCUGAGGUGUGAUGACGAGGCACUACGGUGCUGAAGUAACAAAUGCCCUGCUUCCAGGAAAAGCCUCUAAGCAUCAGGUAACAUCAAAUCGUACCCCAAACCGACACAGGUGGUCAGGUAGAGAAUACCAAGGCGCUUGAGAGAACUCGGGUGAAGGAACUAGGCAAAAUGGUGCCGUAACUUCGGGAGAAGGCACGCUGGUGUGUAGGUGAAGUCCCUGCGGAUGGAGCUGAGACCAGUCGAAGAUACCAGCUGGCUGCAACUGUUUAUUAAAAACACAGCACUGUGCAAACACGAAAGUGGACGUAUACGGUGUGACGCCUGCCCGGUGCCGGAAGGUUAAUUGAUGGGGUUAUCCGUAAGGAGAAGCUCUUGAUCGAAGCCCCGGUAAACGGCGGCCGUAACUAUAACGGUCCUAAGGUAGCGAAAUUCCUUGUCGGGUAAGUUCCGACCUGCACGAAUGGCGUAAUGAUGGCCAGGCUGUCUCCACCCGAGACUCAGUGAAAUUGAACUCGCUGUGAAGAUGCAGUGUACCCGCGGCAAGACGGAAAGACCCCGUGAACCUUUACUAUAGCUUGACACUGAACAUUGAGCCUUGAUGUGUAGGAUAGGUGGGAGGCUUUGAAGCGUGGACGCCAGUCUGCGUGGAGCCAACCUUGAAAUACCACCCUUUAAUGUUUGAUGUUCUAACGUUGGCCCCUGACCGGGGUUGCGGACAGUGUCUGGUGGGUAGUUUGACUGGGGCGGUCUCCUCCCAAAGCGUAACGGAGGAGCACGAAGGUUAGCUAAUCCUGGUCGGACAUCAGGAGGUUAGUGCAAUGGCAUAAGCUAGCUUGACUGCGAGCGUGACGGCGCGAGCAGGUGCGAAAGCAGGUCAUAGUGAUCCGGUGGUUCUGAAUGGAAGGGCCAUCGCUCAACGGAUAAAAGGUACUCCGGGGAUAACAGGCUGAUACCGCCCAAGAGUUCAUAUCGACGGCGGUGUUUGGCACCUCGAUGUCGGCUCAUCACAUCCUGGGGCUGAAGUAGGUCCCAAGGGUAUGGCUGUUCGCCAUUUAAAGUGGUACGCGAGCUGGGUUUAGAACGUCGUGAGACAGUUCGGUCCCUAUCUGCCGUGGGCGCUGGAGAAUUGAGGGGGGCUGCUCCUAGUACGAGAGGACCGGAGUGGACGCAUCACUGGUGUUCGGGUUGUCAUGCCAAUGGCACUGCCCGGUAGCUAAAUGCGGAAGAGAUAAGUGCUGAAAGCAUCUAAGCACGAAACUUGCCCCGAGAUGAGUUCUCCCUGAGACUUUAAGUCUCCUGAAGGAACGUUGAAGACGACGACGUUGAUAGGCCGGGUGUGUAAGCGCAGCGAUGCGUUGAGCUAACCGGUACUAAUGAACCGUGAGGCUUAACCU
RNAcentral lists this ribosomal RNA (2899 nucleotides) under Klebsiella pneumoniae. RNAcentral's name for it is "23S ribosomal RNA". It matches the Rfam family "Bacterial large subunit ribosomal RNA". Lineage: Bacteria; Pseudomonadati; Pseudomonadota; Gammaproteobacteria; Enterobacterales; Enterobacteriaceae. The record is from RNAcentral.